Molecule: ribosomal RNA, 292 nt
Filed under: uncultured bacterium
Lineage: Bacteria
Description: partial 16S ribosomal RNA
Rfam family: Bacterial small subunit ribosomal RNA
Source: RNAcentral
GUGUCAGCAGCCGCGGUAAUACGGAGGAUGCGAGCGUUAUCCGGAUUCAUUGGGUUUAAAGGGUGCGUAGGCGGACUGGUAAGUCAGUGGUGAAAACCUGCAGCUUAACUGUAGAAUUGCCAUUGAUACUGUCGGUCUUGAGUUCGGUUAAGGUAGGCGGAAUGUGUAAUGUAGCGGUGAAAUGCUUAGAUAUUACACAGAACACCGAUUGCGAAGGCAGCUUGCUGGACCGAUACUGACGCUGAUGCACGAAAGCGUGGGGAGCGAACAGGAUUAGAAACCCCGGUAGUCC